This is a long non-coding RNA of Amyelois transitella, 1370 nucleotides long. RefSeq lists it as uncharacterized. Lineage: Eukaryota; Metazoa; Arthropoda; Insecta; Lepidoptera; Pyralidae. The record is from RefSeq and is a predicted model, not a curated record. The transcript has 3 exons.
UUGAUUCAAAACCAAGCAUUAAAAAACAGAGAAAGCGGCGUGUUAAUUUUGAAGGCAUAUAAUUUUUGUGACUUCAGUGAAUGUCCUUGAUCAUAAUACUUUAUUAUUAGAUAUCCUCUAAAUAAACAAAGGAAACACACCUAUACACUAAAUGCUAAAGUAAACUAAAAGAGUGAAAGAAAACAUGGAACAUUACCAAGAAGUUAGUAUAUAGUAGAUUUUGUUUGUUUAUUCAUAUCUUCUUUUUCAUUUUGCUUAGUAGAUAUUGAUUUUGUCUAUCUUUUGAAAUGUAUUUUCAUUAAUUACGUUUAAAUUGAUGAAGCAGUAAACAAUGGUAUCAUUAGUUGCAGCUGGCUUAUCUCCUCUAAACAAAUAAAUGUAAACGACCACUUAACCACGUCUAUAACUCUGAUGAUUACAACAAGGUGGGCCCAGAUAAUGUUAAGCUGAUAAUAGCAGGAAAUCGAUCGAUAUCAAAUGCUGAACCACCAAAGGUAUAAAAGGUGUCCGGAUGAAUCAUCGCAUAUGUCAUUCUGCAACUGUGUGUUAGUCUGGAGAUAAAGUACUGGGAAUUUAUUUUGUAGAGUUUUAGAUUGUAGUAUAUAACGCAGACCGGCCGGCGUUUCGACCAGUUUGGAUAUUGAUCUAGUGUCUGUUGGUUGUUCGAGAUAAUUUGGAGGAAUCUUAUUUUUGUUACAGAAAAAUGGCUGACCGCAUGGUAUUCCCCGAUGAAGUUGAAAAAGCUAAGGCUGAAGCCCUUGAAAACGCAGAAGAGACAAAAGUAGAAGAAGUAAAAAGUAACUCUAUUGAAGACACUUCAGGCAGUGUAGAAACACCUCAAGUCACUAUGAGGAAUGUCAUUGUUGUACCUGGAAAUUGUCCGCCAGGGUACCAGAUGGGAGCAGAUGGUGUUUGCCGAGAAACCUUCUAAGUUGUUCCUCUUCUAAAACUAAUCUUUUAAACAGAUCUCUAUUUCUAAAUUUAUCCACCUUCAAACUUUCCAUGUGCAGUUGUUGUUCUUGUAUGAUCGCAAUGAUAUCAGUAUAUCGGAUUUAUCAGGUUCAAAAUGGUCAUACCAUGAUUAAAUCAAAUGUGAUUGUGACGCAGAGGUAGCUAUAUCUCGCAGUUUGAAUACUAAAGAAUUGUUUAGGGAAGCAGUAACUUGAAUAUCAUCGUGUAAAACACUUGGGAAACUGAGGUUAAUUCUAAAAAUAAAUCAAUGAAUUGGAAUCUUUAAUUAAUUUAAGAUUGUAUCGGUAAUUUAAGACCUCCCAGUAUUAAUUCUUUUGAUGUUUUUUAUUGUGAUGUUUUUCAAAUAAGUAUUUAUGUAUGUUAAAGUAUUAAAUAAUAAGCAUAAAUUAAGAGUAAAA